GGUGGGAUUAGCUAGUUGGUGAGGUAAGGGCUCACCAAGGCGACGAUCCCUAGCUGGUCUGAGAGGAUGAUCAGCCACACUGGAACUGAGACACGGUCCAGACUCCUACGGGAGGCAGCAGUGGGGAAUAUUGCACAAUGGGCGCAAGCCUGAUGCAGCCAUGCCGCGUGUGUGAAGAAGGCCUUCGGGUUGUAAAGCACUUUCAGUCGUGAGGAAGGUAGUGUAGUUAAUAGCUGCAUUAUUUGACGUUAGCGACAGAAGAAGCACCGGCUAACUCCGUGCCAGCAGCCGCGGUAAUACGGAGGGUGCGAGCGUUAAUCGGAAUUACUGGGCGUAAAGCGCAUGCAGGUGGUUUGUUAAGUCAGAUGUGAAAGCCCGGGGCUCAACCUCGGAAUUGCAUUUGAAACUGGCAGACUAGAGUACUGUAGAGGGGGGUAGAAUUUCAGGUGUAGCGGUGAAAUGCGUAGAGAUCUGAAGGAAUACCGGUGGCGAAGGCGGCCCCCUGGACAGAUACUGACACUCAGAUGCGAAAGCGUGGGGAGCAAACAGGAUUAGAUACCCUGGUAGUCCACGCCGUAAACGAUGUCUACUUGGAGGUUGUGGCCUUGAGCCGUGGCUUUCGGAGCUAACGCGUUAAGUAGACCGCCUGGGGAGUACGGUCGCAAGAUUAAAACUCAAAUGAAUUGACGGGGGCCCGCACAAGCGGUGGAGCAUGUGGUUUAAUUCGAUGCAACGCGAAGAACCUUACCUACUCUUGACAUCCAGAGAACUUUCCAGAGAUGGAUUGGUGCCUUCGGGAACUCUGAGA
This 808-nucleotide ribosomal RNA is filed under the name Vibrio sp. Its description in RNAcentral is "bacterial SSU rRNA". It matches the Rfam family "Bacterial small subunit ribosomal RNA", at positions 234 to 1034 of the family's 1533-position model. Lineage: Bacteria; Pseudomonadati; Pseudomonadota; Gammaproteobacteria; Vibrionales; Vibrionaceae. The record is from RNAcentral.